RNAcentral lists this ribosomal RNA (578 nucleotides) under uncultured bacterium. RNAcentral's name for it is "bacterial SSU rRNA". It matches the Rfam family "Bacterial small subunit ribosomal RNA", at positions 338 to 916 of the family's 1533-position model. The record is from RNAcentral.
CCUACGGGAGGCAGCAGUGAGGAAUAUUGGUCAAUGGUCGCAAGACUGAACCAGCCAUGCCGCGUGAAGGAAGAAGGAUCUAUGGUUUGUAAACUUCUUUUAUUUGGGAAUAAACCCCUCUACGUGUAGAGGACUGAAGGUACCAAAUGAAUAAGCACCGGCUAACUCCGUGCCAGCAGCCGCGGUAAUACGGAGGGUGCAAGCGUUAUCCGGAAUCAUUGGGUUUAAAGGGUCCGCAGGCGGGAAUGUAAGUCAGAGGUGAAAUCCUACAGCUCAACUGUAGAACUGCCUUUGAUACUGCGUUUCUUGAAUUCGAUCGAAGUGGGCGGAAUAUGACAUGUAGCGGUGAAAUGCAUAGAUAUGUCAUAGAACACCGAUAGCGAAGGCAGCUCACUAGGUCUGAAUUGACGCUCAUGGACGAAAGCGUGGGGAGCAAACAGGAUUAGAUACCCUGGUAGUCCACGCCGUAAACUAUGAUUACUCGUUAUUGGCGAUAUACAGUCAGUGACUAAGCGAAAGUGAUAAGUAAUCCACCUGGGGAGUACGAUCGCAAGGUUGAAACUCAAAGGAAUUGACGG